RNAcentral lists this long non-coding RNA (1208 nucleotides) under Homo sapiens (human). Its description in RNAcentral is "non-protein coding lnc-NHSL1-2:1". The record is from RNAcentral. Lineage: Eukaryota; Metazoa; Chordata; Mammalia; Primates; Hominidae.
GAAGAGGGCUUUAGAGGAUUUAUUUGGACAGGGCUGUGCUGAGAGUCCCACCCUCACCCCACAAUGGGCGGGGGCACUGGCAUCGAACACCAAGCUGAGUGAGAAGGGCUCCUCCAGGCCUCGCAGGGAGCUUGCUGGCUUCUCCUGGCUCACAGCAGACUGGGCCCGACUCCCAUCGGAGGAAGGCCAGCAUCCUAGGGCAGCCAGUGGAGGGCUGGCAGAGGGCUGUGCCUGGGAGGUCACUGUGCUAUCUUCCAACCACACUGUGUGAGUCUCAGAUACCAUAUGUGGAAUCUGCAUCAGGAAGGUCAGCUUGAGGUCAUUUUAAAAGGGAUUCUUCGGAAAAAGUCUCACUGAAGGGUUGGCAGGACCCUGAUGGUAAGAGUACCAAGCCCAGCGUGGGUGACCCAUUCCACCAGAGGUCCAGUUCAGUACAUGCCUUACUGCCGGCCUCCACCCCUCUCUUGCCUGCUAGCAAGUGGGCUGUGGGAGGGUGACAUCGGGGAGGAACGCCCGGCCAAAAGGUUAUUGUUAAUCUUUACCUAUGCACUUCUUCUUCAUAUCAUUCCCUCCUCACCUUCUUCUUUCCCCAUCCUUCCUUGAUGAUUUCUUCUUGAAUUUCCUGUUUGCUUUAAGACACUCUGAAGUUCUUCGAUUUCAUUAUAGCUAGCUUUUUUUGAAUGCCCGCUACAUAGGAGGGUGGUCUCUUUCACACACCUUACCUCAUUUAAUCUUCAUGGGAUCCCUGCAAAUUAGGUGGCAUUAUUCUCAUUGUGCAGAGGCUGAAGCUGAGGCACUCAAGCUGACACAUUUCUCCAAGUCACAUACAUGGCAGGAGAGGGAUCUGGACCUAGUGCUGCCUCCUUGCUAGGGCUGGCCCUGAAGCGUGGCCUUUCUGUGACAGUGAUCAUGAAUACAGGGAAGCCUCUGGCAUUCUGAAUGCAUUAACCUUCUGAUUAAUUGUCUUUGGGAAACUUGAGCUUUGCAAGGUUCCUAUCAAACUUCUUUAUUUUUCUUUUUAGUUGACUGAUGGGAAAGGUGUUGGAUACUUAGAAACAGUUUGACUUCUGAAACAAAAAUAUUUAGAGCUACUUAAGUUGAUCCAUGUUAGCUCUGGGUGGUCAACUCACUUAGCAAAACUUAACGCUGAUGAUGAAGCUUCUAAAAUGUUUUCGUAGGAGCUCUUGUGUAAGUGUCAUACUGAACAC